CGUGAGUGUGCUAGUGUUAGGGGGUUUCCGCCCCUUAUGCUGCAGCUAACGCAUUAAGCACUCCGCCUGGGGAGUACGACCGCAAGGUUGAAACUCAAAGGAAUUGACGGGGGCCCGCACAAGCGGUGGAACAUGUGGUUUAAUUCGAAGCAACGCGAAAAACCUUACCAGGUCUUGACAUCCCAAUGACCUUCCAAAAAAUAGAAUUUUCCCUUCAGGGACAUUGGAGACGUGCGGCGCGGGUGUCUCCUCCUCUCGUGUCGAGAUAUGGGGGUAAAUCUCCCGCCAAGAGCGCCCCUUGUAUUUAUUUUUGCCAUCAUUUAUUUGGGCUCUCAAAGGAGACUGCCGGAGACAAAACGGAGGAGAGGGGGGAAGACCUCCAAUCCUCGUGCCCCUUAUGACCUGGGCUACACACGUGCUACUGUGGACGAUACAGAGAGUCCCAAACUCGCGAGGGAAACCUUAUCUCAUAAAAUCGUUCUCAUUUCAGAUUGUACGCUGCAACUCGCCUGCAUGAAGCCGGAAUCGCUAGUAAUCGCAGAUCAGCGUGCCGCGGUGAAUACGUUCCUGGGCCUUGUACACACCGCCCGUCACACCAGGAGAGUUUGUAACACCCGAAGUCUGUGGGAUAACCGUAAGAGAGCCACCCGCCUAAUGUGGGAUAGAUGAGAGGGGUGACACCGACAAAAAAAAACACAAA
This 700-nucleotide ribosomal RNA is filed under the name Kurthia gibsonii. RNAcentral describes it as "bacterial SSU rRNA". It matches the Rfam family "Bacterial small subunit ribosomal RNA", at positions 801 to 1533 of the family's 1533-position model. The record is from RNAcentral. Lineage: Bacteria; Bacillati; Bacillota; Bacilli; Caryophanales; Caryophanaceae.